RNAcentral lists this unclassified non-coding RNA (2718 nucleotides) under Melitaea cinxia (Glanville fritillary). RNAcentral describes it as "misc RNA ENSMCXG00005012300.1". Lineage: Eukaryota; Metazoa; Arthropoda; Insecta; Lepidoptera; Nymphalidae. The record is from RNAcentral.
CGCUGCUGGCCGCGCCGCCGCUCGCGCACGCGGACAAGGAGCUGAUAACGAAUGCAGUAAAAAAAGCUGCAGCGGCAAUAUCAGAACUGCGAGUGGAACACCACGAGGAUCUGGUGGUGCCUUUUAGGGUUCCAUAGCAAAGAAGUUCCGCCUCAAUGUCCGAGGACGAACGAUGAACUUGCACUGCUAUAGAUUUAUAUAGACAGCUAGGGCCUUGUUAUAAUGGAAGUAUGGUUGAGGAUACUGGGUUGAUGUGACCUUUUAUUUAUGAGUUUAUUCCCUUGUUGAUGUUUGGGUGCUAAAUGUAUUAUUGUUUCAGUAAAAAUUAUUUUUUGUUUCAAUGUUUUUUGAAAAUAAUUUAAAUGUAUAUACUUAGUCAUGUACAUAUUGGCGUCUUAAUUUCUUAGCUAGCUUUAAUACUAUUUAGACAAUAACAAAAUAUCAAGUUCUUAGAUACAUUCAAAUGAAGUUGCGUCUAUUUUAUGCAAGUACGAAAUUGAACAAAAAUGUGUAUCUUUUUCAAAGCCAACAAUAAGAAUAUAAUUCACCGAAUCGUUCAUUCUUUCUAUUUUCUGCGUCGAAAAGGAUUCCAAAAUUAGUCAUUUUUACGUGCAAUAAAUUCAAUAUUUUCUUUUUCUAUCUAUCUCUAUUCUAUAUUGAAUUUAUAUAUAUUUUUUAUAACCAUAUUCUUAAGCGAUGUUGUUAUUGUCAAAGAAACAACGUUGAAUAGCUUUAAACUAUGAUUAAUUAAAUAAAGUUAUUUUAUGGUUUAAUGUAUAAAAGUAAUGGUCAUUUCUUCCCAUUUCUCUACCAGAGGUUUGAAAGUGUUGUGAAAUAGUUAUAUAAAUCGAAAGGCAGUGUUAUGGACAAUUGAUAUUAAACGUUAUAAUAUUAAUAUUUAUCCUUGUUUAAAGUGUGCUUCUGCUUUGUUUUUUUUUUUCUAACUGGUCAUUUGACUGAAGAUGACAAUAGCGCCAUCUACCGUAACGACUGAUAACUAAAACUUCACUGAAUAUGGAAAAAUGUAUUUAUUUAUUUUUUUGGAAAAAAAUUCAAAUAUUUUCAAAUUUUAGUGGCGAAAUGCUACGUGAUAUUAAGAAGGGACACACUAUACUUUGAAAAAACGAUUUUUUUUUAAGUAAAGCGUUUGAAAAUAUUCGUGUGUAACAAGCCUCGUGCCUUUUCUUAUAUCAUAUCAAAUGUGUUUCAACUCCUUUAGAUUUUUUACUCGAAAAUAUUUGGGAGAUUUUUUUUAAAUAUAAUAUAGCAUGUUAAUUUUUAUUACGAUUUCAAAAAUAAAUUGAAUAUUUAUAAUUUUGUAUGUAAUUAAUUUGUAAGCAUUGAUAUUGUAAUUUUAUAAAAAAUGUAUCAAUUGCUUUAAAUUAAUUUAAAAUGAUUUUGCAUGAAAUGUUAUUAUGAAUAGUUGUAACCUGUUACGCGACUAAGUAUUUUUGUAUGAUUGCCAAAAUAUUAAACCUCUUAUGGGGUAAAUAGGAAUAAAAACAGGUAAAUAGAGAAAAAAAAAACAAUCGUAAUAGGUAAUCAAGUGACUAAAUUAAAAAUAGAAAGACUAAGCUGAAGGGUAUUUAAUAAAUUUACGAAUGUUCUCAAUUCCUAAACUACUAAAGUAAAUUUUAUAUAAAAAUAAAUUAUAUUGACUCAAUGUAUUCCAAGUCUUUUACAUUUGUAUCUUUAAGUCUGUAAAAGUCACUCAGCUGAGCAAAGCCAUGUUUUCAUAUAAGGAAAAGAGACUAAUCCGAGACGCAUCUCCGCCGGCGGAUCAUAUUUCUAGUAAAAAAAAUGUGUAAUACUCCAAACAAUCUCAAAAUCAAAAACCAACUUUAUUUAAAUAAGCCCCAUGAGCAUCUUCGAAUCAUUUUACAAAUUAAAACUUUGAAAUGAUUAUUAUUUUUGUAAAAGUAAAGCUACCACCGAUUCGGAAUGUAGAUUCUGCAGAGAAGAAUCGGCAAGAAACUCCGCAGUUACUCUUUUUAAAAUAAUAUAUAAACUGUGUUUUAGUACGAAAUAGCAAUUUUGCAUGAUAUGCGUCAAUAAGUUCACACAUUUUUAUCAACUAUAUAAUGCUGCACCGAACAAUACGCUUUAUCUAUUAAUUUUUUAAUAGAUAAAGCAUAUAUAUUGACUAUUUGACUAAUAUUGUAUAGAUUAAUAAUAAUUUGUUGAUAAACUAUGAAGUGUAUUAAAUAUACAUUUUUAUGUACGGGCAUAUUUAUAGACUGAAUAUUCUUCAAUACCCUUCAGAAUCUAUUAAAUUAUUUAAACAUGACAGAUACACGCCUCCGAUAACUUAAAAUUUAAAGAAUGUUUAUUAUUCUAUCAUAAUGAAUUUUAACAGAAAAAUGUCGACGUUUAUAAUGUCAACUUGACACUUAUUUGACAGUUUGAAAGUUCGUGUUGUCUUUUUCUUUAGUCAUAGAAAGAAAAGAGACAGCAUGAAUUACAUUUUUUACACCUCUUUUACACAUAUUUCUAUUUCAGUAGAACUGAAAUUUUUUUCGGUUUCCUAACAAAAUAACUUUUUUUAGAAUAAGGCUGUGUAUUACGCGUGUUAAGUUCAUUGUAAUCUUUUUAUGUUAUUCGCAGAUUAUAUCAGAAUGUGUUAAUGCCAUUAUAGAUGUACCUUAUUAAUAAAUAAAUAAAUUUGUAUUUUUGUUGUUUUAUUUGAAUAUUUUUACUAAUGAAAUAUAGAUAUAUAUA